This 429-nucleotide ribosomal RNA is filed under the name Chloroflexota bacterium. Its description in RNAcentral is "Chloroflexi bacterium partial 16S ribosomal RNA". It matches the Rfam family "Bacterial small subunit ribosomal RNA", at positions 355 to 776 of the family's 1533-position model. Lineage: Bacteria; Bacillati; Chloroflexota. The record is from RNAcentral.
UAGGGAAUCUUCGGCAAUGGACGAAAGUCUGACCGAGCAACGCCGCGUGAGUGAAGAAGGUUUUCGGAUCGUAAAACUCUGUUGUUAGAGAAGAACAAGGACGUUAGUAACUGAACGUCCCCUGACGGUAUCUAACCAGAAAGCCACGGCUAACUCCGUGCCAGCAGCCGCGGUAAUACGGAGGGUGCAAGCGUUAAUCGGAAUUACUGGGCGUAAAGCGCACGCAGGCGGUUGAUUGAGUCAGAUGUAAAAUCCCCGGGCUUAACCCGGGAAUUGCAUCUGAUACUGGUCAGCUAGAGUCUUGUAGAGGGGGGUAGAAUUCCAUGUGUAGCGGUGAAAUGCGUAGAGAUGUGGAGGAAUACCGGUGGCGAAGGCGGCCCCCUGGACAAAGACUGACGCUCAGGUGCGAAAGCGUGGGGAGCAAACAGG